CAAGUUUGUGGAAUUUCUAUCUCUCGUUGUUGGUGAAUUUUUUUGAAGGAAAACAUUACUUGUUCCUAAUUUCUUUAUUCGAGCUACUAGUGUAGAAAAUGAGAUCGAAAUUUGUGGAAAUUUUAGACUCUUCUUCAUCCAUAAACAAACAUUUCUUCACUUAUAUUUUUGACCUUUGCUCCACAAAUUUUCGACCGGUUAGUUUUCGAAACAUGAAAUCUCGUAUGCAAAGAGUACUAUAUAGACAUAUUUCUCGCGUUUAUACCUUUUUUUCCUUGUAAUGUGCAUACUUCUUGUAGAAUUUUCUAGCUCGAGUACGAGUAAAGCGAGAUCAGACCUUGUGUACGUAUUACUAAUGAUAUGUUGUCUUUUUUUCGGCAUCAGGAUGAGUUCUCAUCAAACCCUAAUGCCAACACCCCUUCUCCACCACCUUCACAGAGCUUGUUGAUGUUCAACAACCAGAUCAACGAUUUCGAGUUCCAGUCCGCUGCUCGAUUUGCACCGGAUCAUCAUCAACAUCUCGAGCUCCCUAGGCCCCCAUUGGUUGUCAACAGACGUAAGCUCAUCGAUCGGACCGGACUCCAUCCUUCACUAAUUCUUGUUAAUUUUACCCCCUAAAUUAUGAAAUUAUUGUGUUGGUAAUUAAUUUGAUGCAGCUCCUGAGAAGAGACAGAGAGUCCC
RNAcentral lists this long non-coding RNA (681 nucleotides) under Linum usitatissimum (flax). RNAcentral describes it as "long non-coding RNA (LUSI_LNC002028)". Lineage: Eukaryota; Viridiplantae; Streptophyta; Magnoliopsida; Malpighiales; Linaceae. The record is from RNAcentral.